This 443-nucleotide long non-coding RNA is filed under the name Hordeum vulgare. RNAcentral's name for it is "long non-coding RNA (HVUL_LNC013546)". The record is from RNAcentral. Lineage: Eukaryota; Viridiplantae; Streptophyta; Magnoliopsida; Poales; Poaceae.
AACAAUUGUGUGACGUGCUCAUGCAGUUUAGACAUUAUCAUGCAUUUCUAGUUCUACGUACACAUGCUUAUGUGUGUACCAUUCAUUGUUGCAAGGGCGGGCAUUUCUAUUUAUACCUUCGACUGGUUUCAUUUUUUAGGUGAGUGUGUCAAUGAGCUAGUAGUUGUGUAGCCACCAACCAACCGUUGUGCUUAUUUACUUACUCUCCACCCUGUUAUUAUUCAUUAGUACUAGUGCAUUUACAAUGUUUAAUGUGUUUUUUUAAUCUAUGUUUAAUAUGUGAGAGAUUGGAGGAUACCAACGUGCUAGCGAGCAGGCUUCUUUUACAAUGGCGCAACCAGUCACACCUCUUUCUGUGACGCAAUAGAUGAGAGCCGACAUGAAGCUAUAGGAGCACUGCCAUCUUCAGUGGGGAGAACUUGCUUGAAAAAUGAGGGAAAANN